GUACUCACUGUGGCAGCACAUAUAUGAAAAUUGGAAUGCUACAGAGAUUAGCAUGGCCCCUGCACAAGGAUGACAUGCAAAUGCAUGAAGUGUUCUUUUUUUUU
Small nuclear RNA from Cebus imitator (Panamanian white-faced capuchin), 104 nucleotides. Lineage: Eukaryota; Metazoa; Chordata; Mammalia; Primates; Cebidae. The record is from Ensembl.